UACGAAGGGGGCAAGCGUUGUUCGGAAUUAUUGGGCGUAAAGCGCGUGUAGGCGGCUUGGCAAGUCGGGUGUGAAAUCCCUCAGCUCAACUGAGGAAGUGCGCCCGAAACUGCUUUGCUUGAGUGUCGGAGAGGAUGGCGGAAUUCCCCAAGUAGAGGUGAAAUGCGUAGAGAUCAGGAGGAACACCAGCGGUGUAGACGGCUUUCUGGACCACAGCUGACGCUGAGACACGAAAGCGUGGGUAGCAAACAGG
This 253-nucleotide ribosomal RNA is filed under the name uncultured bacterium. Its description in RNAcentral is "partial 16S ribosomal RNA". It matches the Rfam family "Bacterial small subunit ribosomal RNA", at positions 524 to 776 of the family's 1533-position model. The record is from RNAcentral.